CAGGGCCAUUCCUGAGGCAAAAGGAGUUCCCAUCGUGGCUCAGCAGUUAACCCAACUAGCAUCCAAGAGGAUGUGGGUUUGAUUCCUGGCCUCGAUCAGUGGUUAGGGGUUCCAGUGUUGCUGUGAGCUGUCGUAUAGGUAGCAGACAAGGCUCAAAUCCCACCUGGUUGACCAUGGGGUUAAGUCUGAGAACCACCUGCUCCCUCAAACACACACCCUCAGUAAUGCUUUACCAAGACAUUCAAGGAGAGGCCAGACCCCAAAGUACCAGCACCAGCAGCACCACAGCAGGGCUGGUGCCGCCAGGGGAAGAGGAGGCCAUGAACUGUUAGGUAUCCAAAAAUAAUGAUAAUAAUAAUAGAAAUGGCAAACCCUUAACCACAAGCCAGGUCUUUGGGCUACUCUAAGUUUGGCCUUUAUAACAGACUCACCCUUUUUCUCACUCACCUGUACUCUAAUGGACUUUCAAGGGAAAGUGCUCCCUUAAUUUUUUUUAAUGGAUUUAAGUCCAUCUGCUCAAAGUCAGGUUUGAUAUCAAAUCAAAAUCCACAGAAAUAAAAUAGCAAAUGCAUUAAGUAAGCUAUAAUUUUAGGAGUCGCUUUAACACAAGCAAUGAAAGCCAGCAGUUAUCUAGAUAUCUGCUCUCAAAUAUUAAGCAUCUUCUUUCUUAACCACCUAUAUAGUCUUUGGAGAACUGUGACAAAGUGAGGGAGGUUUUAAAAAUGAAGGGAACAGGCACCACGCAAAUCUAAGCAUCACAAAGGGGGGGAUUUUUGUCCACUUAUGUCACCUAAGCACCUAGAACACAGCCUCAUUUACAAAAGGUGCUGAUAAAGAAAUGUGAUUCUGUAAAAUCACUUUUUUGCUGGAAAGUACUUAUCCAAAUUAAAAGAGCCAGCCUAGAGAGGAAUCUGUAAUCAGAAGCAAUGCAAGAUGCUUCAAAACAGCUGCAAGGACCUAAGGCUUUAGUUAUUAGCUUUUAAGUUUUUCACAAUGUCUUAACUCCCAAAGAGUAAAAGCAACCAAACUGGGCAGCUUGUCCCUGGUGAGAGGGAGGAAGUCGAGUGCCUUCUUGGGAAUGGAGUGCUGCCAUGAGAACCAGCGACGACACCCUCACCCUGGGUCCCCCCCCCCGGGUCCCCCCAUCACCCAGAGCAAGUCCACGCCCAGAAGCAAUGGCCUCCUGCUAGAAGGAAACUCAGAAGACCAGCUGGCCCAUUCCCUACUUAUGGCAGACCGGGAACUCACAGCCGCCAGGCAAAACGCUUGCCUAAGCAAGGCUCAGCCCCCUUAGAUGUCAGUUCCCUGCCAGCCUGGAGGGACAGCAGAUGGGCUCAGGCGGAAACCCACCCACCUCUCCCAGAGCAGCACGCUUUCUAGCUCACGAACUCAGGCACCUCACCAGGUGCUGUGCGUGCUCAGUGCCCAGUUUCUAGAGCAUCUACACAGCUGAUGCCGAGAGCUGCCUUGCACCUCCGCCUCUGCCCCACUCACGCCCCCUCCUUGGUGGGGUUCUCUAAGGUAGGAAGGACGCCAGGAGCCACAAGUGUGAGCACCCUGCCAAGGCACGAGGAAGGCUGAGCCAACCUUCGGCUUCACCGCCCUUCCCUGAGCAGGAACGAGACAGAUAAAAAGCAUGAGGACAAGUGCUACCGCGUUAGGACUUUAUGAAACUGCUCAUUUCGGCCAUUUUUAAUCUUUAAAAAAAAAUAGCAAUUCCAUAUCAACCUAGUACAAAUGUUACAGCUUCUUUGUUUCACUCUUCAGGGAUCCAUAAAAAUAACAGAGUGAACUGUUAGCAAGCACAGAGAAUGCCAAGACCCCAUGUGUGGAAUUAUUUCAGUCUUACCAAGGUAGGUUCUCUGUGUGCUUCUUUACCGACCGACCGACCAAUGGUAUCCUGACGGUUCAGAAGCGUCAUGAAUUAGGAAAUAUCCAAUCAAUGCCGGAUACAAACAAGCGAGAAGAGGGCGGGGGCGGGGUGUGUGUGUGCAAAUGCACUUUAAAGAUGCAGCCUGUGGACACCCCACCUACACACACCCUCACGUCUCCCCCUUAACUGCUCCCAAGGAUGUACAAAAUGCAGUCCUUUCACAAGCUUUUAGAAAGUUUUUUUUUAUUGGUUACAACGAUAUAAAAUGCAUCCUCUGAAUUCCCCCUAGUCAUUAAGUGCUUGCUAGCAACAGCAUAAGAAAACUUUCUGUACAUCUGACAAGCUCGCUCAAGUGAUUUAUUUCAUGCUGGAAGGGGAAAAAAUAGCACACAGCACUCUUAACUUGUCUGUCUACAAUUAACCUCUUUUCCUCUCUCUCAAGUCUACAUUGGUUAAAAUCAACGGACAACCCCUUUUGUAUGUCAAUUUGUAAAUUUUAAUGUUUUCAUUAGAAUAGUCUUUUAUAUCACUCUCCGACAAGAAACAAUAAAAUAACUAACAGCAAACUUCAAUACAGGAACACUCUCCAGAUUAACAGCUCAAACAAGAAUGUAAAAUGUAAAUCACAUAUAAUACAAUUGAAGCGUCCAAAACAAUUUAAAUAAUUUUAAAUAUUUUAUUUUUAAAUGGCUACAAAUGUUUUUUAUACAAUAUUUCAACAUAAAGUCCCCAUAACAGAAAUGUAACAAAAUGGGAAUGAUAGUGAAAAGGUUAAAGUGGCACAAAUUCACCAAACAAGUAUUAAACUACAAAUUUUAAGAGGUAGAUUACUUUUAGAGUUGAGAACCAAAAAAAAAAAAAAAAAAAACCAACAACAACAACAAAAAAAACACAUCACGACAUGAAUAAAACCUAGCCAUUUUCCACUGACUCAGUCAUUACUUAGGGGAAGGCAUAUAAUGCAUGGAGAAAUUAAACAUAUACUCAGGAAUAGGCCAAUUUGUCUUUUUUUUUUUUUUUUUUUUUUUUUAAUCUCUAUUAGAGACGGAGGUGUAAAACCUGCUAUGUAGAUCCCUUUACACUUACGUGUAGACAAACACCUACACGGGCCUGUGAUACAUGCCGGGCACUGAUGUACUGCUGCCACCUCCAAUAAGAUAGCAGUUAGAAAUUAGUGCCAGAUAAUAACCUGAGAGGAUCAUGUCCAUUUGGAUAUAUAAACAUGACACUGGAAGAGGCAUUAGAAAAAGUCCAUACGCAAUCUGGUUUCCUCUCCAUUAUGCUGGCAAUCUGCUUGGGAUAAAACAACAACAAACAAGAACAACAACAGCAAAAAAAAAAAAAAAAAA
Molecule: long non-coding RNA, 3222 nt
Filed under: Sus scrofa (pig)
Lineage: Eukaryota; Metazoa; Chordata; Mammalia; Artiodactyla; Suidae
Description: lncRNA (ENSSSCG00005038885.1)
Source: RNAcentral